Molecule: non-coding RNA, 95 nt
Organism: Russula dissimulans
Lineage: Eukaryota; Fungi; Basidiomycota; Agaricomycetes; Russulales; Russulaceae
Source: the annotation of a GenBank genome assembly
UGCCCCAUGGCUGAGUUGGUUACAGCGUCCGACUGUUAUCCUUACAUAAGGAAAUCAUAAUCGGAAGGUCGUGAGUUCGAGCCUCACUGGGGCAG